AGAAUUUGAUCCUGGUUCAGGAUGAACGCUGGCGGUGUGCCUCAGGCAUGCAAGUCGAACGAGAAUCUAACUUCGGUUAGAGGAAAGUGGCAGACGGGUGAGUAAUGCAUGGGAAUUUACCUUGUAGUGGGGAAUAGCCUCGCGAAAGCGGGAUUAAUACCGCAUGUAAUCGAAAGAUUAAAGCCUUCGGGCGCUACAAGAGAAGCCCAUGUCCUAUCAGGUUGUUGGUGGGGUAAUGGCCUACCAAGCCUAUGACGGGUAGCCGGUGUGAGAGCACGACCGGCCACAAGGUCACUGAGACACGGGACCUACACCUACGGGUGGCAGCAACCGGGAAUCUUGCGCAAUGGACGAAAGUCUGACGCAGCGACACCGCGUGUAGGAUUAAGCUCUUCGGAGUGUAAACUACUGUGGCAGGGGAAGAAACUUUGACGGUACCCUGCUAGAAAGCACCUGCUAACUACGUGCCAGAAGCCUCGGUAAUACGUAGGGUGCAAGCGUUAUCCGGAAUUAUUGGGCGUAAAGCGUCUGUCGGCGUUUUGGAAAGUUUCUUGUUCAAGACUAGGGCUUAACUCUAGAAAAGCAAGAAAAACUACCAGAAUUGAGUCUGUUCGGGGAAACUGGAAUUCUCGGUGGAGGGGUGAAAUCCGUAGAUAUCGAGAGGAACACCAUACGCGAAGGCGGGUUUCUAGGACAGUACUGACGCUCAGAGACGAAAGCUUGGGUAGCGAAAGGGAUUAGAGACCCCUGUAGUCCAAGCCGUAAACGAUCCUCGCUAGCUGUUCUCACUUCGGUGGGAGUGGCGUAAGCUAACGCGUUAAGCGAGGCGCCUGGGGAGUACGACCGCAAGGUUAAAACUCAAAGGAAUUGACGGGGGAGCGCACAACCGGUGGAGCAUGUGGUCUAAUUCGAUACGAAGCGAAAAACCUUACCUGGAUUUGACAUGUAGCUGCACGGCCUAAGAAACUAGGUCUUCUUCGAGAGUGCUACACAGGUGAUGCAUGGCUGUCGUCAGCUCGUGUCGUGAGACGUCCGCUUAAGUGCGGUAACGAGCGCAACCCUUGUCCUCAGUUACAAGUGUCUGAGGAGACUGCCCCUGUUCUACAGGGGAGGAAGGAGAGGAUGACGUCAAGUCAGCAUGUCCCUUACAUCCAGGGCGACACACAUCCUACAAUGGAGCCGACAACGGGUAGCGACGGGGUAACCCUGAGCCAAUCCUUAAACGGCCCCUCAGUUCGGAUUGAGGGCUGCAAUUCGCCCUCAUGAAGCCGGAAUCGGUAGUAAUCGCAAAUCAGCAGGUUGCGGUGAAUACGUUCUCGCUCCUUGUACACACUGCCCGUCAAGUCAGCA
RNAcentral lists this ribosomal RNA (1350 nucleotides) under metagenome. RNAcentral describes it as "bacterial SSU rRNA". It matches the Rfam family "Bacterial small subunit ribosomal RNA". The record is from RNAcentral.